UAGGGAAUCUUCCACAAUGGACGCAAGUCUGAUGGAGCAACGCCGCGUGAGUGAAGAAGGUUUUCGGAUCGUAAAGCUCUGCUGUUGGUAAAGAAGGAUAGAGGUAGUAACUGGCCUUUAUUUGACGGUAAUCAACCAGAAAGUCACGGCUAACCACGUGCCAGCAUCCGCGGUAAUACGUAGGUGGCAAGCGUUGUCCGGAUUUAUUGGGCGGAAAGCGAGCGCAGGCGGAAGAAUAAGUCUGAUGUGAAAGCCCUCGGCUUAACCGGGGAACUGCAGCGGAAACUGUUUUUCUUGAGUGCAGUAGCGGAGAAUGGAAUUCCAUGUGUAGCGGUGGAAUGCGUAGAUAUAUGGAAGAGCACCAGUGGCGAAGGGGAAUCUCUGGUCUGAAACUGACGCUGAGGCUCGAAAGCAUGGGUAGCGAAAAGG
Molecule: ribosomal RNA, 429 nt
Filed under: bacterium
Lineage: Bacteria
Description: partial 16S ribosomal RNA
Rfam family: Bacterial small subunit ribosomal RNA
Source: RNAcentral